GUCCUCAUUUCAGCAGCACAUUUACCAAAACUGGAAUGAUACUGAAAAGAUUAGCAUGGCCCCUGCAACAAGGACGGCAUGCAAAUUCGUGAAGCGUCCCAUAUUAAA
Molecule: small nuclear RNA, 108 nt
Organism: Prolemur simus (greater bamboo lemur)
Lineage: Eukaryota; Metazoa; Chordata; Mammalia; Primates; Lemuridae
Source: Ensembl